UUGAACGCUGGCGGCAUGCUUUACACAUGCAAGUCGAACGGCAGCGCGGGCUUCGGCCUGGCGGCGAGUGGCGAACGGGUGAGUAAUACAUCGGAACGUGCCCAGUAGUGGGGGAUAGCGCGGCGAAAGCCGGAUUAAUACCGCAUACGACCUGAGGGUGAAAGCGGGGGAUCUUAGGACCUAGCGCUAUUGGAGCGGCCGAUGGCAGAUUAGCUAGUUGGUGGGGUAAAGGCCUACCAAGGCGACGAUCUGUAGCUGAUCUGAGAGGACGACCAGCCACACUGGGACUGAGACACGGCCCAGACUCCUACGGGAGGCAGCAGUGGGGAAUUUUGGACAAUGGGCGAAAGCCUGAUCCAGCAAUGCCGCGUGUGUGAUGAAGGCCUUCGGGUUGUAAAGCACUUUUGGCGGGAACGAAAAGGACUGUGCCAAUACCACGGUUCGAUGACGGUACCCGCAGAAUAAGCACCGGCUAACUACGUG
This 483-nucleotide ribosomal RNA is filed under the name uncultured bacterium. RNAcentral's name for it is "partial 16S ribosomal RNA". It matches the Rfam family "Bacterial small subunit ribosomal RNA", at positions 29 to 507 of the family's 1533-position model. The record is from RNAcentral.